GCCCACGUCGCAUAAUGGUAUUGCACGGGAUUGGAGCUCCCGGCCUCUCUGAGGCUUCCAGGUUCGAUUCCUGGCGUGGGCG
RNAcentral lists this transfer RNA (82 nucleotides) under Candidatus Pacearchaeota archaeon. RNAcentral describes it as "tRNA-Ser". It matches the Rfam family "tRNA". Rfam says of the family: Transfer RNA (tRNA) molecules are approximately 80 nucleotides in length. Their secondary structure includes four short double-helical elements and three loops (D, anti-codon, and T loops). Further hydrogen bonds mediate the characteristic L-shaped molecular structure. tRNAs have two regions of fundamental functional importance: the anti-codon, which is responsible for specific mRNA codon recognition, and the 3' end, to which the tRNAs corresponding amino acid is attached (by aminoacyl-tRNA synthetases). tRNAs cope with the degeneracy of the genetic code in two manners: having more than one tRNA (with a specific anti-codon) for a particular amino acid; and 'wobble' base-pairing, i.e. permitting non-standard base-pairing at the 3rd anti-codon position. The record is from RNAcentral. Lineage: Archaea; Nanobdellati.